UCUGUCAUGUAGCUUCUUGGGCGGCAGCAAGCCGAAAGGAUCACAGUGGUGGGUCAGGAGCGCCGCAGUUGAAGGGAGCGAGAUGGUUCUCCUAUGAUGAACUCAAGAAGUGCACUAGUAACUUCUCAGGGAGCAAUGAGAUAGGUUCUGGAGGAUAUGGAAAGGUGAAAAUCCAUAAGCAACGUUUCUAAACACAAUGAAAAUGAGAAUGACUAAACGACAUAAUGACUAAUCACGAGAGGUAGUAAACCAUUUACCUGGUCUGGUUACCCGCAGGUGUACAGAGGAAUGCUUUCGGAUGGACAGCUAGUGGCAAUCAAACGAGCACGACAAGGAUCACUGCAAGGUGGGCAGGAGUUCAAGACUGAAAUCGAGCUGCUAUCAAGAGUACACCACAAGAAUCUCU
This 406-nucleotide long non-coding RNA is filed under the name Linum usitatissimum (flax). RNAcentral describes it as "long non-coding RNA (LUSI_LNC003310)". Lineage: Eukaryota; Viridiplantae; Streptophyta; Magnoliopsida; Malpighiales; Linaceae. The record is from RNAcentral.